This 102-nucleotide ribosomal RNA is filed under the name uncultured archaeon. RNAcentral describes it as "partial 16S ribosomal RNA". The record is from RNAcentral.
CUCCCCGUUGCUGACCCAGGUUCGGUAGCGCCAAUUAGGCGCAACCUCGCCAAGAACCAACUUCGGUGAAGCGACGGGCGGUGUGUGCAAGGAGCAGGGACG